This 656-nucleotide long non-coding RNA is filed under the name Helianthus annuus (common sunflower). RNAcentral describes it as "hypothetical non coding rna". The record is from RNAcentral. Lineage: Eukaryota; Viridiplantae; Streptophyta; Magnoliopsida; Asterales; Asteraceae.
GGGUAUUCCAACCUACACAUCACAAAUAAUUAAAAGUUUAACGGCUAAAAGCCCUCAAAAAUAUAUACCAAAAGGACCAUGAAGCAAGAUUAUUCUUGUUUAGAAAUUUCAGAGAAACUCCCACUUCCAAAACACCCAAGACCCCUGAUACCUCCGGAAGAAACAAAAAAACAGGACCAGAACUGAGUCGCCUACUGGAACAAAAAAACAAGACCCCUGAUACCUCCGGAAGAAACAAAAAAACAGGACCAGAACUGAGUCGCCUACUGGAACAUAGCUGUGUAAGAUUGAUAUAUUUAUUAACCCCGCCAAAAGAACAAAAUAAACACGCCACACAAAACAAACAACCCUUCACGAACCAAAGUACCGAGGCUAUAAUCUUUAGAACCAACAAGCCUAAAAAUUUCAAAAGGACAAUCAUCACAGGUUCGAUUAUAAUCAGUAAAUCCGUUAGGCUACAAUAAAUUAGAACUUACGCCCACUUGGGGUCAGGGGCACCACGGAUCAGCCCAGGUUUGAUUAUCACAUUGCUGCAGCAGUUCUUUUAAUCAUGUCUUACCUACAUUACAAGUUAACUUCACGGUCCCUAAACAUUGAUGUGUAAGAAAGCUGGAACGGUCGUCCUUUUUAGGUCGGGUCUGAACAACCACGAAGCG